AUACUUUUAAUGUUGCCUCGGGCGGUAUCAGCCCGCGCCCCGUAAAACGGGACGGCCCGCCAGAGGACCCAAACUCUAAUGUUUCUUAUUGUAACUUCUGAGUAAAACAAACAAAUAAAUCAAAACUUUCAACAACGGAUCUCUUGGUUCUGGCAUCGAUGAAGAACGCAGCAAAAUGCGAUAAGUAAUGUGAAUUGCAGAAUUCAGUGAAUCAUCGAAUCUUUGAACGCACAUUGCGCCCGCUGGUAUUCCGGCGGGCAUGCCUGUUCGAGCGUCAUUUCAACCCUCAAGCCCCCGGGUUUGGUGUUGGGGAUCGGCUCUGCCCUUCUGGGCGGUGCCGCCCCCGAAAUACAUUGGCGGUCUCGCUGCAGCCUCCAUUGCGUAGUAGCUAACACCGUGCAACUGGAACGCGGCGCGGCCAGCCGUAAACCCCGACUUCGCAG
This 443-nucleotide ribosomal RNA is filed under the name Fusarium tricinctum. Its description in RNAcentral is "eukaryotic LSU rRNA". The stretch from base 124 to 277 matches the Rfam family "5.8S ribosomal RNA". The record is from RNAcentral. Lineage: Eukaryota; Fungi; Ascomycota; Sordariomycetes; Hypocreales; Nectriaceae.